This 460-nucleotide ribosomal RNA is filed under the name uncultured bacterium. RNAcentral describes it as "partial 16S ribosomal RNA". It matches the Rfam family "Bacterial small subunit ribosomal RNA", at positions 338 to 795 of the family's 1533-position model. The record is from RNAcentral.
CCUACGGGAGGCCGCAGUGAGGAAUAUUGGUCAAUGGGCGGGAGCCUGAACCAGCCAAGUCGCGUGAGGGAAGACGGUCCUAUGGAUUGUAAACCUCUUUAGGCGGGGAGCAAUGCCGGGCACGCGUGCCCGGAGGGAGAGUACCCGCAGAAUAAGCAUCGGCUAACUCCGGGCCAGCAGCCGCGGUAAUACGGAGGAUGCGAGCGUUAUCCGGAUUUAUGGGGUUUCAAGGGUGCGUAGGCGGAUUUUUAAGUCAGCGGUAAAAUGUCCGGGCUCAACCCGGGCCGGGCGUUGAAACUGGGGAUCUUGAGUGGGCGAGAAGUAUGCGGAAUGCGUGGUGUAGCGGUGAAAUGCAUAGAUAUCACGCAGAACUCCGAUUGCGAAGGCAGCAUACCGGCGCCCGACUGACGCUGAGGCACGAAAGCGUGGGGAUCGAACAGGAUUAGAUACCCUAGUAGUC